AGGGGUAAGGAGCUGAUAUCAGGCUCAAUUACACCCAAGACAUCUAGCUAUGCCACACCCACAAGGGUCCUCAGCAGUGAUUAACAUUGAAAAUAAACGUCAGUUUGAUUUAGUUAAUGCAAAUAGAGCCGGCCAAUCUGGUGCCAGCCGCCGCGGUUACACCACGUGGCUCAAAUUGAUAUAAUACGGCGUAAAGCGUGAUUAAAGCAACACAACUUACUGGGGUUAAACUUGCACUAAGCUGUAAUACGCUAGUUUUUAAGAAAAUCUAUCUCGAAAGAUACCCCAUCCACCAACUUGAACUCACGAUAACUAGGAUACAAACUGGGAUUAGAUACCCCACUAUGCCUAGUGAUAAACUUUUACUUACAUCUUUAACGCCAGGGAACUACGAGCAAAGCUUAAAACCCAAAGGACUUGACGGUACUCCACACCCUUCUAGAGGAGCCUGUCCUAUAACCGAUACUCCCCGUUUAACCUCACCAUUUUUAGUCUCUCAGCCUGUAUACUUCCGUCGCCAGCUUACCGCGUGAGCGUAUAAGUAAGCUCAAUGUCACCCACCAACACGUCAGGUCAAAGUGCAGUUAAUAAAAUGGCAAGAGAUGGGCUACACUCUCUAUUAUAGAAGAAACGAAAGACUAUGUGAAACCAUGGCCAAAAGGUGGAUUUAGUAGUAAGAAGAAAAUAGAAUAUUCUCCUUAACCCGGCACUGGAGUGUGUACACACCGCCCGUCACCCUCUUCAAUAAACCAAACUAGUAUUUAACACCCACUACCCUAAAUAGAAGAGGUAAGUCGUAACAUGGUAAGUAUACCGGAAGGUGUGCUUGGAAA
RNAcentral lists this ribosomal RNA (833 nucleotides) under Pristimantis pycnodermis (thickskin robber frog). RNAcentral describes it as "partial 12S ribosomal RNA". It matches the Rfam family "Bacterial small subunit ribosomal RNA", at positions 343 to 1522 of the family's 1533-position model. The record is from RNAcentral. Lineage: Eukaryota; Metazoa; Chordata; Amphibia; Anura; Strabomantidae.